UAAGGGAACCCCGAGUGGCCGGAAAUUCGGGCUGGCCAUCAGCGUAAAAAACUGGUGAAGAAAGGGCCGGGCAAGACCGGUGCCAGCCGCCGCGGUAAUACCGGCGGCUCGAGUGGUGGCCACUAUUACUGGGCU
Molecule: ribosomal RNA, 135 nt
Filed under: uncultured Methanolinea sp.
Lineage: Archaea; Methanobacteriati; Methanobacteriota; Methanomicrobia; Methanomicrobiales; Methanoregulaceae
Description: partial 16S ribosomal RNA
Rfam family: Archaeal small subunit ribosomal RNA
Source: RNAcentral